CGUAGGUGGCAAGCGUUGUCCGGAUUUACUGGGCGUAAAGCGCGCGCAGGCGGCUGGCCAAGUCCGAUGUGAAAGCUUCCGGCUUAACUGGAAAACGGCAUCGGAUACUGGUCGGCUGGAAGGUGGGAGAGGGUAGCGGAAUUCCCGGUGUAGUGGUGAAAUGCGUAGAUAUCGGGAGGGACACCAGUGGCGAAAGCGGCUACCUGGCCCACUCUUGACGCUGGGGCGCGAAAGCUAGGGGAGCAAACGGGAUUAGAUACCCCGGUAGUCCUAGCCGUAAACGAUGAACACUAGGCGUUGUCGGUAUCGACCCCGGCAGUGCCGAAGCUAACGCAUUAAGUGUUCCGCCUGGGGAGUACGGCCGCAAGGCUAA
This 373-nucleotide ribosomal RNA is filed under the name uncultured organism. Its description in RNAcentral is "bacterial SSU rRNA". It matches the Rfam family "Bacterial small subunit ribosomal RNA", at positions 526 to 897 of the family's 1533-position model. The record is from RNAcentral.